CCUACGUGCGGCAGCAGUGGGGAAUAUUGGACAAUGGGCGAAAGCCUGAUCCAGCCAUGCCGCGUGUGUGAAGAAGGCCUUCGGGUUGUAAAGCACUUUCAGUGGGGAAGAAAGCCUUGGGGCUAAUACCCUCGAGGAAGGACAUCACCCACAGAAGAAGCACCGGCUAACUCCGUGCCAGCAGCCGCGGUAAUACGGAGGGUGCGAGCGUUAAUCGGAAUUACUGGGCGUAAAGCGCGCGUAGGCGGUCUGAUAAGCCGGUUGUGAAAGCCCCGGGCUCAACCUGGGAACGGCAUCCGGAACUGUCAGGCUAGAGUGCAGGAGAGGAAGGUAGAAUUCCCGGUGUAGCGGUGAAAUGCGUAGAGAUCAGGAGGAAUACCAGUGGCGAAGGCGGCCUUCUGGACUGACACUGACGCUGAGGUGCGAAAGCGUGGGUAGCAAACAGGAUUAGAUACCCUUGUAGUC
Molecule: ribosomal RNA, 465 nt
Filed under: Vreelandella stevensii
Lineage: Bacteria; Pseudomonadati; Pseudomonadota; Gammaproteobacteria; Oceanospirillales; Halomonadaceae
Description: partial 16S ribosomal RNA
Rfam family: Bacterial small subunit ribosomal RNA
Source: RNAcentral